GACGAACGCUGGCGGCGUGCUUAACACAUGCAAGUCGAACGGAAAGGCCCUGCUUUUGUGGGGUGCUCGAGUGGCGAACGGGUGAGUAACACGUGAGUAACCUGCCCUUGACUUUGGGAUAACUUCAGGAAACUGGGGCUACUACCGGAUAGGAGCUCCUGCUGCAUGGUGGGGGUUGGAAAGUUUCGGCGGGUGGGGAUGGACUCGCGGCUUAUCAGCUUGUUGGUGGGGUAGUGGCUUACCAAGGCUUUGACGGGUAGCCGGCCUGAGAGGGUGACCGGCCACAUUAGGACUGAGGUACGGCGCAGAGUCCUACGGGGGACAGCAGUGGGGAAUAUUGCACAGUGGGCGGAAGCCUGAUACAGCGACGCCGCGUGCGGGAUGACGGCCUUCGGGUUGUAAACCGCUUUCGCCUGUGACGAAGCGUGAGUGACGGUAAUGAGUAAAGAAGCACCGGCUAACUACGUG
This 468-nucleotide ribosomal RNA is filed under the name uncultured bacterium. RNAcentral describes it as "partial 16S ribosomal RNA". It matches the Rfam family "Bacterial small subunit ribosomal RNA", at positions 28 to 507 of the family's 1533-position model. The record is from RNAcentral.